UUAAAAUAUAUAUUAUAUUAUACAUGCGUAAGUAAUAAUUAUGUUUUUAUAUUAUAUUAUUAUUAAUAUAUUAUAUUAUAUUAUAUUAUAUUAUUAUUAAUAUAUUAUAUUAUAUUAUAUUAUAUUAUUAUAUUAUUAUAUUAUUAUAUAUAUGACAAAGAAAGAAAGAAAAGAAACAGAGAGCAAAACAAAACAGAGAAGGGAGAAAGAAAGAAACAGAGAGCAAAACGAAACAGAGAAGGAAGGAAGGAAAGAAAGAAAGAAAAGAAAAGAAAAAGGGAAAUUUCGGGUUUUAAGGUUCAAAGUAAUUUGGUAAGUCAAUUUAAUCCCCUUUUCUCUUAAUUUUGAUAUUUUUUUUGAAAUCUUAGAAUAAAAUACUACUUGAUUUAAGUUGAAAUUUUGGAAGUUAGUAGAUUAUUAAGCAUGGUUCAUGUUGAAUAAAUUGUUAAAUUAGGGAUGUAUUUGAUAGAAAUUUUGAUUGGAAUUGAAUAAAGGAUUGAAUUGUAAACUAAACUAUAAGUUUUGAAUUUUAGGGAUUAAUUUGAAAUAAAUUCGGAAUUAUGAAAACAUGAUAAAAAUUAAAUAGUUAAAUAUGAGUUUAGCAAGAAAUUGGGUAGAAUAAGGGUAUGAAUUGAGAAAGAAAAAUAUAUAGGUUUAGUUAGGGGUUAAAUUGAUUUAAUUUCAAGUUAGAAGUUAGUAAAGAAUGUAAUUGUAAAAUAAAAUAUAAGUUUUGAAUCGAUAGGGAUUAAAUUGAAAGAAUCCCGAAAUUAGGGAUUUAUGGUGAAAUUGAGGAAUUAAAUUGACUUUAUAGUAAGAAUUAAGAGAGAAUAUAGAGUUAGAAUGCAAAAAUAAAAUUAGUAUUGAUAAGGGAUUAAAUUAGAAUUUGAUGUUGCCAUAGAAGGGAAAAAUGUUCAGAAUGUUAUAAAACAUAAGAAUAAGAGAUGAAUUUUAAUUUCCGAGCCUUGGGGCAAAAAUGUAAUUAUGAAAAAGUUUAGGGGCAAAAUUGUAAUUUUGAAAAAGUUAGAGUCAAGGGCUAUUUUGAUGAAUGUGAUUAUUAAAUAAGUUAAAUUUACUAUUUUAGAUCAAGAAGUACGAAACUCGAGGUUAGUCAAAGGGAAGAAUAAAGUUGAAGACUAAGUUGGUGAAUUUGGCUAUAAUUGGUACCGAGGUAAGUUUACGGUAAAUAAAUGCAAUAUUUCAAUAUUUAUUAUUAAUGCUGUUAAUUUCCAGCAAUUAUGAAUUUAUUUUAUGAAUUUAUUUGAUGAUGAUCCAAGCAUGAAAUGAUAGAGAAUUAAAAUUUAAAAGUCCCGUUGAUACAUAAGGAUGGUACUGGAUACGAAUGUCAUGACAUUUGGGUAAAGAGAUCCCAUGUAAGACCAUGUCUGGGACAUGGCAUUGGCAUCCUUAAGAUCAUGAGAGGUCCCCUGUAAGACCAUGUCUGGGACAUGGCAUGGGCACCGAGACAAGAGGUCCCAUGUAAGACCAUGUCUGGGACAUGGCGUUGGCACCGAGAUGAGAGGUCCCCUAUAAGACCAUGUCUGGGACAUGGCAUGGGCACCAUCACGAGAACAUCCCAUGUAAGACCAUGUCUGGGACAUGGCUUUGGCAUGUUAUUAUCAGAAGAGACCCGAGUAUCCUUAUUAUUCCAAUGUAGUUCAACGGGCUUGUAAACGAAUCAUGUUCAUGAAAGUUCAGUUUAAAACAUAAAUGGCAAGCUCAGGUAAGUUGUAAGACUUAAGAACUUAUUAUACUAUCAAUUGAUGUUCAACGAUGCAGCAAGGAUUGAGUAAGUUAUGCACACAAAUAUUCUAAGUAAACAAGUAAGAAAACUAGUAUGAGAUUAACUAAAGAGUAAACUAGAGAUAUAGACAUUGAGUUUAAUUGUUUAAGUUAAAUAUUGUUAUUUAUUUGCUAGUAAUCUUACUAAGCUUUAUGCUUACUUCUUUUAUUUCUCUUUCUCUUAUAGUAUUGCAAAGCUACUUCAAUGAUCCUAAAUAAGUCGGAGACCGUCCACACUAUCAACUACAACUGCUCGGUAUUUUAUAUCGAAACACGUUUAAGUUAUGGCAUGUAUAGGGAUUUAGUUAUUUUGUAUGUUUGUAGUGAUGAUUUUGCUAAUGAGUGAUGUGUAAGUAUUUGGUGAUGUAUGGUUAUUAAAAUGAUUAAGGAUGAAUGUGUUUGUUGUUAUGAAAGAUUAGGUGAUAAAUUAUGCAUGGAAAUCAUGAAAGGAUAAAAUUUUGCAAAGAUACAGAAUUCAGGCAGCACAGUGACGUGAAUUUGAAAAAUCACCCAAGAUAGUAUAAAAUGAAUUAGAGGGUGAAUGAUAUAUGGAAUUAAAGCUUGUUGAGUCUAUUUUCAUGGAAAAAUAACGGUGUAGAAAAAAAGAAAUUUAUAUUUUAAGAUAUGUGAAUUUUAGUAAGAUAGGGUCAGAACUGUUUUUGGAGUCCCCUGUUCUGAGUUUAGAAAAUAAUUACAAAUUGUAAAAAAAUGUUUAUGAGUUGAAUUUUACAUGCUUAGAUUCCUUAAUGAGUCUAUUUUCUAUAGAAACAAGUAAGAACUUCAUAUGAAAAUCCUAUAGUGAGAAAACUUAUUUUUAGUGACUAGAUGUCAGGGCAGUCUGGUGGUGACACAGGGGAGACUUUAACUAAUAAACUGUACUAAUUUGCUGAACCAAAAAUUCUAAAAAUUUUAUGGUGAGUAGAUAUAUGAGUCUAGUUUCAGGAAAAAUUUACGGGAUUAAAUUUCGAGUUCUGUAGCUCAAGUUAUAAUUAAUUUAGUAACUGCUGCGCGAUUAGACAGAUUUGCUGCGAAUAAUGAAAUAAAUUUUCAAAUCUAGUUUUUAUGCUCCGAAUUGGUAAGAUAAGCUAAGUAAUGCCUCGUGCUCGACUCCGGAAACGGUCUCGGGUAAGGGGUGUUACAAAUGAGUUAGUAUAAAUUUAAAUUUCAUAAAUUGAGUUUGACUAAACUUGAACAUUUAUAUAUAAUGUAAAUAUCAUACAUGAAUUGAACUCCAA
This 3014-nucleotide long non-coding RNA is filed under the name Gossypium barbadense (sea-island cotton). Its description in RNAcentral is "long non-coding RNA (GBAR_LNC012050)". The record is from RNAcentral. Lineage: Eukaryota; Viridiplantae; Streptophyta; Magnoliopsida; Malvales; Malvaceae.